GUCCCAGUUCGGACUGUAGUCUGNAACCCGACUACACGAAGCCGGAAUCGCUAGUAAUCGCGGAUCAGAAUGCCGCGGUGAAUACGUUCCCGGGUCUUGUACACACCGCCCGUCACACCAUGGGAGUCGGAAAUGCCCGAAGUCAGUGACCCAACCGGAAGGAAGGAGCUGCCGAAGGUGGAGCCGGUAACUGGGGUGAAGUCGUAACAAGGUACC
RNAcentral lists this ribosomal RNA (216 nucleotides) under uncultured bacterium. RNAcentral's name for it is "partial 16S ribosomal RNA". It matches the Rfam family "Bacterial small subunit ribosomal RNA", at positions 1285 to 1500 of the family's 1533-position model. The record is from RNAcentral.